RNAcentral lists this transfer RNA (73 nucleotides) under Marmota marmota marmota (Alpine marmot). It matches the Rfam family "tRNA". From Rfam's summary of the family: Transfer RNA (tRNA) molecules are approximately 80 nucleotides in length. Their secondary structure includes four short double-helical elements and three loops (D, anti-codon, and T loops). Lineage: Eukaryota; Metazoa; Chordata; Mammalia; Rodentia; Sciuridae. RNAcentral also lists the same sequence under 1 other name. The record is from Rfam by way of RNAcentral.
GGGGAUAUAGCUCAGUUGGUAGAGUGCUUGCCUCUUGUGUAUAGUGCCCUGGGUUCAAACCCCAGGAUCACAA